This 253-nucleotide ribosomal RNA is filed under the name uncultured bacterium. RNAcentral describes it as "partial 16S ribosomal RNA". It matches the Rfam family "Bacterial small subunit ribosomal RNA", at positions 524 to 776 of the family's 1533-position model. The record is from RNAcentral.
UACAGAGGGGGCAAGCGUUAUUCGGAAUUAUUGGGCGUAAAGGGCGCGUAGGCGGCAUGGCAAGUGGAUGGUGAAAUCCCUCGGCUUAACCGAGGAACUGCCGUCCAAACUGCUUCGCUUGAGACCGGGAGAGGUGAGUGGAAUUCCCAGUGUAGCGGUGAAAUGCGUAGAUAUUGGGAGGAACACCAGUGGCGAAGGCGGCUCACUGGACCGGUACUGACGCUGAGGCACGAAAGCGUGGGGAGCAAACAGG